GCCAAUGUGGUGUAGUGGUUUGAGCAUUGGACUGUGACUCUGGAGACCACGGUUCAAAUCCCAGUUCAGCCA
Non-coding RNA from Phrynosoma platyrhinos (Desert horned lizard), 72 nucleotides. The record is from the annotation of a GenBank genome assembly. NCBI's taxonomy places the organism in Eukaryota, Metazoa, Chordata, Lepidosauria, Squamata, Phrynosomatidae.